UAAAGCCCUUUCGGAGAACACUUACUGCCUC
RNAcentral lists this non-coding RNA (31 nucleotides) under Rattus norvegicus (Norway rat). Lineage: Eukaryota; Metazoa; Chordata; Mammalia; Rodentia; Muridae. The record is from RNAcentral.